Molecule: long non-coding RNA, 569 nt
Organism: Dreissena polymorpha
Lineage: Eukaryota; Metazoa; Mollusca; Bivalvia; Myida; Dreissenidae
Exons: 5
Source: RefSeq, a predicted model, not a curated record
GGGCCUAUAUCUCCCAUUAGCACACAUUAGGUCAAACUCCACACAGCAGUUACUUCCCUUGGGCAUUCGCCAAUCAUUAAUGUCUUUUUCUAGAAUAAGGGAGGCCACUGCGUAUGAGAUUGACCAACCUCGGCGCAGUGAUUUACCGGGAACCAGCAUAGCAACGAACGACAACUCUGUAAUAAAAAUUGCCAAUUUUCGCGGUUAAACUUAAAAAGAGUCCAUGUCAACUGCUGACAGUGAAGAGCCAGGCAGUCUGACCCAUGAUAGGAAGGAGCCAAGUGAAGAGCCAGCCAGUCUGACCCACGAUAGGAGGGAGCCAAGUGAAGAGCCAGCCAGUCUGACCCAUGAUUCUUGACAUGACUCAUGGUGAACUAAAAUUGCUUGCAAAGCAUCUGGGACAUGAUGUGAAGACCCACAAGGAAUAUUAUCAGUUGUCUUCCAGUACCAUGGAACUCUCAAAGGUUGCCCUGAUGUUGUAUGCUGUUGAAAAUGGUAAAGUCAAUGAGUGGAAGGGAAGGCAGAUGAAGGACAUAGUAGUAGAAGAUUUACCUCUUCCAAUUGAAGAC